CCUACGUGUGGCAGCAGUGAGGAAUAUUGGUCAAUGGGCGCGAGCCUGAACCAGCCAAGUAGCGUGAAGGAUGACUGCCCUACGGGUUGUACACUUCUUUUAUAAAGGAAUAAAGUGAGGCACGUGUGCCUUUUUGUAUGUACUUUAUGAAUAAGGAUCGGCUAACUCCGUGCCAGCAGCCGCGGUAAUAUGGAGGAUGCGAGCGUUAUCCGGGUUGAUUGGGUUUAAAGGGUGCGUAGGCGGAAUGCCAAGGCAGCGGUAAAAUCGCGGGGCUCAACCUCGCUCCGCCGUUGAUACUGGCGGUCUUGAGUGGGCGAGAAAUAUGCGGAAUGCGUGGUGUAGCGGUGAAAUGCAUAGAUAUCACGCAGAACUCCGAUUGCGAAGGCAGCAUAUCGGCGCCCAACUGACGCUGAAGCACGAAAGCGUGGGUAUCGAACAGGAUUAGAUACCCUGGUAGUC
Molecule: ribosomal RNA, 459 nt
Filed under: uncultured bacterium
Lineage: Bacteria
Description: partial 16S ribosomal RNA
Rfam family: Bacterial small subunit ribosomal RNA
Source: RNAcentral